RNAcentral lists this ribosomal RNA (216 nucleotides) under Glomeromycotina sp. RNAcentral's name for it is "partial small subunit ribosomal RNA". The stretch from base 40 to 216 matches the Rfam family "Eukaryotic small subunit ribosomal RNA", at positions 686 to 864 of the family's 1831-position model. The record is from RNAcentral. Lineage: Eukaryota; Fungi; Glomeromycota.
GGGUCAGUAGGUUGGUCGUGCCACCGGUACGUACUGGUCUCACUGAUUCCUCCUUCCUGAAGAACCGUUAUGCCAUUAAUUUGGUGUUGCGGGGAAACAGGACUGUUACUUUGAAAAAAUUAGAGUGUUUAGAGCAAGCUAACGCUUGAAUACAUUAGCAUGGAAUAAUGAAAUAGGACGAUCGAUCCUAUUUUGUUGGUUUCUAGGAUUGACGUA